UCCCNGUGGCUUACAGAUCCGUUUAUGC
This 28-nucleotide non-coding RNA is filed under the name Mus musculus (house mouse). Lineage: Eukaryota; Metazoa; Chordata; Mammalia; Rodentia; Muridae. The record is from RNAcentral.